UAAAAGUAGGAAAUACAUAAAAUUGUAGGUACUUUCAAGAAAUAUAGUUAACUGUAAGUGCUGUAUUUUAAUAAUCUAUCAAAAAUCAAAAUCAUCAGGAUAAUAUUAGGUAUUGAUUUUCAGACAAGAAUUAGAUUACAGUGAUGGUCAAAAACAUUUAGAUAUUGCUUUGAAAUCUACAGAUAAGGUAUGGCAGUUUCAUUUUAAAGAACAAGAUGUUAAAGUUUGUGAUAAAAUUGUCAUCAGAAAUACUGUCCACUUCAGUAUUUACAUAGGAAAAUAUUGGAGGAUGAAGCUCUACCUACUGCCUCAGAGCAACAACACAAUAAAAAACCAAAAUAUGAACACCAGCAACUAAAACAGGAACCAUUAAAUGAAUAUUACACACAGCAAUAACAGCAUCAAAUAAUGGAAAUAAUGGACCCUACUGCUCAAAUCAAAAACAAAAUUUCAUCAUUACCACUUUAUUGGUUAUAUCAAUAAAAGAAAUUAUUGAGUUUAUGAGUCUAGAUCCUACAAGCAAGCAGAUCUAUCACAUAAUUUAAAAUGAAGAUUUAUCUAUUAUAGUAAUUUAUUCUAAUAAUGAAAAAGAAACUUUGGAUCAAAAAAUAUUUUCUUCUGAUGAGGCUUAUGAAUAUUAAAGUCUGUUGAAGUUUGGCCAUUAUGUGUUGGUAUACAAUUUAUUUAUGAUGUUACAGUAGUUAAACCAUCCGAAUACAAAACAUAUUUAAAAUCCACUAUUCUUAAUGAACCAACUUGAGAGGAAGCUAAGAGAAAGGUUCUAUUGGGUGGACUACAAGAAAAAGGGACAUAUACAUGAGGAUCUGGAAGGGCUAUAACAUUACGUCUCAAGCCAUGGAACAAUAGGAAACGAAAUUCAAAGGAAAAUAUUACAAUACGUGGGAUGCAAAUUAUAGUGCAAAGAAUUGAGAAAAAGAAUUAUUAAAAGUAGUUAUAGUUAUGAUAGUUAAACCAUCUGACUACCAAAUAUAUUUAAAAUCCACUAUUCUGAAUGAAUAGCAACUACCAACUUGGAAGGAAGCUGCGAGAACGAUUCUAUUGGGUGAACUAGGAAGACAUGAGCAUCUGGAAGGGCUAUAAAAUUAUAUUAUUAUUUCACGUCCCAAGCCAUGUUGGAAUAGCUGGGAGUGAAAAAGAAGAUAAUACUGCACACGAUUCUUGUCUAGAAGUAGUUGAUAUUAAGGUAGUUAAGCCAUCCGACUAUCGAACAUUUAAAAUCCACUAUUCUGAAUGAAUAGCAACUACGAUGGCAAAACGUAAAUAAAUACUUGUACAGUAUAAAAUUAUAUUAUAUUGGCUUAAUUUUUAUACUAAAUAAAAUGUGUUACGUUAUUUUUGA
This is a long non-coding RNA of Sitophilus oryzae (rice weevil), 1360 nucleotides long. RefSeq lists it as uncharacterized. The transcript is spliced from 4 exons. NCBI's taxonomy places the organism in Eukaryota, Metazoa, Arthropoda, Insecta, Coleoptera, Curculionidae. The record is from RefSeq and is a predicted model, not a curated record.